GUGCCAGCCGCGGUAAAACGUAGGUCCCGCGCGUUGUUCGGAUUCACUGGGUGUAAAGGGCGCGUAGGUGGUUGUCUGUGUCUCAUGUGAAAACUCAGGGCUCAACUCUGAGAUGGCGCGGGCAACUAGGCAGCUAGAGGACGGUAGAGGGGAGUGGAAUUCCCGGUGUAGCGGUAAAAUGCGUAGAUAUCGGGAGGAACACCGGUGGCGAAGGCGGCUCUCUGGGCCGAUCCUGACGCUGAGGCGCGAAAGCUAGGGGAGCGAACCGGAUUAGAUACCCGGGUAGUCCUAGCCGUAAACGAUGGGUGCUAGGUGUUGGGGGUAAAGACCCUUCAGUGCCGAAGCAAACGCGAUAAGCAUCCCACCUGGGGAGUACGGCCGCAAGGUUGAAACUUAAAGGAAUUGGCGG
RNAcentral lists this ribosomal RNA (409 nucleotides) under uncultured bacterium. Its description in RNAcentral is "bacterial SSU rRNA". It matches the Rfam family "Bacterial small subunit ribosomal RNA", at positions 505 to 916 of the family's 1533-position model. The record is from RNAcentral.